Molecule: ribosomal RNA, 349 nt
Filed under: uncultured bacterium
Lineage: Bacteria
Description: bacterial SSU rRNA
Rfam family: Bacterial small subunit ribosomal RNA
Source: RNAcentral
UGGGCUUGACAUAAUCCCGACCGCCGUGGGAACGCGGCUUCCCUUCGGGGCGGGAUUACAGGUGCUGCAUGGCUGUCGUCAGCUCGUGUCGUGAGAUGUUCGGUUAAGUCCGGCAACGAGCGCAACCCGUGUCGUCAGUUGCCAGCAGGUAAUGCUGGGGACUCUGGCGAGACUGCCCGAGUCAAGCGGGAGGAAGGCGCGGAUGACGUCAAGUCCGUAUGGCCCUUACGUCCAGGGCUGCACACGUGCUACAAUGGGCGGUACAAUGGGAUGCGAUGCCGCAAGGUGGAGCAAAUCCUCAAAACCGUCCUCAGUUCGGAUUGGAGUCUGCAACUCGACUCCAUGAAGU